Erpetoichthys calabaricus (reedfish) is the source of this 502-nucleotide long non-coding RNA. RefSeq lists it as uncharacterized. Lineage: Eukaryota; Metazoa; Chordata; Cladistia; Polypteriformes; Polypteridae. The transcript is spliced from 2 exons. The record is from RefSeq and is a predicted model, not a curated record.
ACCAGGUGUUAGAAGCCGCUGAGAACCCUUCUCUUCGUUACCAGUCUGAAACGGUGAAAAAGUAAAAGUAAUAAGAGGUUUAACAGACGUCAUUGAAGUGGAUCAUGAAUUUGUGUAACGUUAAUGAAAAUGGCCAGGAGAUGUCACUAGAGAGUAUUCUCACAUGGCACUUGGUGCCAGUGUUCUACUGCCAAGUUGAGCAAUCCUUUCAUCAUAUUGCCUAGCAGCACUGACUCAGCUUUGGAAUGGCCAGUAGUGGGGAGUGGGCUUAUUGGCUGAGGUCUUCGAAACUGUCCCAGUGUCUGGCUUGUCUGGCUCCUUUUCAACAAUGUGGCAGUGGUUCUACAAUUAUGACAUAUUUGUUACGUAUUUGAAGAAAUCUGUAUCCUCAUAUGUGAUAGUUCAGUAUUUACUGAGUGGUGUAAUAUAUUCUUGCAUUUUGCCUUCUAGUUUGUACUAUUUGAUUGUAUUUGUGAGUUAGCAAUUAUAGAUUUUCCAAUUA